UACGUAGGGGCAAGCGUUGUCCGGAUUUAUUGGGCGUAAAGAGCGUGUAGGCGGCCAGACAGGUCAGCUGUGAAACUCGAGGCUCAACCUCGAGACGUCGGUUGAAACCGUCUGGCUAGAGUCCGGAAGAGGAGAGUGGAAUUCCCGGUGUAGCGGUGAAAUGCGCAGAUAUCGGGAAGAACACCCGUGGCGAAGGCGGUUCUCUGGGACGGUACUGACGCUGAGACGCGAAAGCGUGGGGAGCGAACAGG
RNAcentral lists this ribosomal RNA (251 nucleotides) under uncultured bacterium. Its description in RNAcentral is "partial 16S ribosomal RNA". It matches the Rfam family "Bacterial small subunit ribosomal RNA", at positions 524 to 776 of the family's 1533-position model. The record is from RNAcentral.